GAUGAACGCUAGCUACAGGCUUAACACAUGCAAGUCGCGGGGCAGCAUGGGGGUUGCUUGCAAUCCCCGAUGGCGACCGGCGCACGGGUGAGUAACGCGUAUCCAACCUGCCCUUCACCACGGGAUAACCCGGCGAAAGUCGGACUAAUACCGUAUGUUGUCCAUUGACGGCAUCCGAUUUGGACGAAAGGUUUGGCGGUGAAGGAGGGGGAUGCGUCCGAUUAGCUGGACGGCGGGGUGACGGCCCACCGGGGCGACGAUCGGUAGGGGUUCUGAGAGGAAGGUCCCCCACACUGGAACUGAGACACGGUCCAGACUCCUACGGGGGGCAGCAGUGAGGAAUAUUGGUCAAUGGGCGUAAGCCUGAACCAGCCAAGUAGCGUGCAGGAUGACGGCCCUAUGGGUUGUAAACUGCUUUUAUGCGGGGAUAAAGUGGCCCACGUGUGGGUUUUUGCAGGUACCGCAUGAAUAAGGACCGGCUAAUUCCGU
This 489-nucleotide ribosomal RNA is filed under the name uncultured bacterium. Its description in RNAcentral is "partial 16S ribosomal RNA". It matches the Rfam family "Bacterial small subunit ribosomal RNA", at positions 28 to 506 of the family's 1533-position model. The record is from RNAcentral.